This is a long non-coding RNA of Brassica napus (rape), 2397 nucleotides long. RefSeq lists it as uncharacterized. The transcript has 3 exons. The record is from RefSeq and is a predicted model, not a curated record. NCBI's taxonomy places the organism in Eukaryota, Viridiplantae, Streptophyta, Magnoliopsida, Brassicales, Brassicaceae.
UACUAAAGUUUCUUCUUUGCUUUUUGCGUUCCAUGGUUAAUGUACGGUUUAAUUGUUGGGCUGGUAUGUUGUUUAGCUGGGCUCUUUAAUCAUCAAUUUCGUAGCCCAAUUAUAUUGAAAUUCACCGAGUUCUUUUUUUUUCUGAAAAAAUUUCAAUGUCUUCUUGAGACGCCAUCUUCUUGCCAUCGACUUCUAGGGUUAAUGUUGUUCAAGCUCCGAUUUGUUCACCUGAGAAUGGAGUUUCAGGAGGGUUUGAGACAAAACUUUGUGACGAAUAGAUGGAUUGAGAUUUUUUUUCCGAGCUUCUCAGUUUCUUAUUGCCUGAACCGUUACGGGAUGCAUUAAUUCUUAUCCAUUAACGACCUUUGUAACUCAAUCAACCCGCUCCGAUCACAAUUCCCUCAUUCAAUGCAUCUUACCUCUCUUCCAGGCGGUGCAUCUCCAGCUUCUCAUCUGUCCAGCUUCCCUCUGUAACCAUAUUCUGCACUAUAUAUAUGAACCCAAACAAGCUUCCAAAUCUCCUUCGGCUUUCAUAUUUGUUACUCUUUGUAAGCCUCUCUACAGUCAUGGUAAAUUCUCAACUGUUUCUGUCUGAGCUCCACAGGAAUUGAGUUUACUUAGCUGAGAAAAAGAGGAAUUAAGUUUCUUAAAUUUGAUGGAAAGCUGGCUCCGAAGGCGAGUCUUACAGGAGUUCAGUGAAACCAAACAGAAACAGCUCUGGUUACAUCUCUGAAAGCUGGAGGAGUCGGUCUGGAUCUGACCGCAGCUUCAAACGUCGUCUUCAAGCUUGCGGUUAAAUUCUAAUCCAUUAUGAAGAAAUGGUGAUGAUGAUUAUAUCCUCUUUGUUUUUUGAAAUACUUAGGAUCCAUGGUGGACUACGGCUAUUGAAGAGGCAGCAAUCAUGAGAAUCCAUCUCAUAAGAAAGAAUUUUAUGCGCAUAAGAUUUUUGUUAUAUUAUUUAGAUCAUUAUUGAAAAAUAUCACAUGUAGAGUACAAUUCACUUAUAACCUGUCAAACACUUGAAAAAAAAAAGAUAUUAGCUCAUGUUUCCUUUUCGUAUGAUGCAACAGCUUAAAAACCGAAAAUAGACGCUCAACAAGGAAAGAGAAACAUGGUUGAUGACGUGAUUCUAGACAGCUUAUCAAUACUGUUGUUCUUUUUAUUUGUUGGUAAUUGUUUCUUAAUUCACUGAGACAUGUUUUCUGUUCCAGCUAGAGGAUUUGGAGAAAGAAACAUUGAAAUGGUGCAGAGAAAUCACAUGGAACAGUUCUACUGCAAUUUGUGUGCUGAAUGCAGGAUUGCACUCAGUGAUGAGAAUGGCAGACUUCAUGGGCUAGGACGCCAAGAAUGAGACACUCUUAUACUAUGGAAUCGAAGAAGCUACUGAAGAAUGUCUUUCUGCAGGAGCUUGGAGGCGAUACCACACUCUUAUUCUAUGUUAAGGUGUCUUUCUGCUUUUCCAUGGGAAGCAGUCCCUGUCACUGCAGAAGAAGAGCCACCACCAGAUCUUUUCUGCUGUAGCUCUGAUGGUGCUGCCAAAAAUCUGUGUCUGUCCGUGUGUAAGUAUCUGCUGCUGAGACUGGAACUUCUUGAGAUUUAAGCAAUUGUAAGACGUCAAUAAUGAGGCUGCAGGUUUUUUCCAUUGGGAUGAUGUGGCAGUAACAGAAUCAGGUUGAGAAUGAGUCAUCAUUUAACUCCAACCAGUUUGCUGCUGAUCUGUGUAAGAUGAUGGGAAAACAUUAAGGGGUCUCCAUCCAUUGUUGUUGCUGCAGUAAGAGGCCAAGUACUAGAAAGAAAGUUGCGGUCUAUGGAUGGACUGUCAUAAAACAGCGUCGGACCAUUCAUUGAUGGGGUCCUCAGUAAGUCUUUUCGGGGUCCUCGACAUGAGCUUAACAGUUCCAUCUCCUGUCUUUGAGUCACUUGCCUGAAGUUUUUUUUUGCUGGUGAACAACGGGAACUGUAGAUACGAACUGGUAGCCUUUGGAAGAGGAAUUCAAAUUCGCAGGGGCAGUACCAUUGGAAAAAGAGGUUAACGACAUGGAAAAGUUUUGUGGCUGCAUAGGAGCAGUCAUGAUCUGGCCAUGUAGCGCUCCUAUAUGAGUGUGCUACUCCUUGAAACUGGAUUAUCUCCUUCAGUUUUGGCUUUAAACUUUUGAGAUUGUUGAUCCUGUACCUGAAUAUUAGCUUGGCUUGAGACGCUUUUCACACUAACUUGCGGUUGCAGUUGCAUAUGCGGUUGGGGAACAACUUGAUGAUGCCUUUGUCUCUCUUAAACAGUAUUCAUGCAAACUCUACAAAACUUUGAUUAUUUUUUUUGUAGUUAUUUUUGGUUAAUUUACCAAUAGUUGUAUUUAAAACUCGAUUUAAUUAUAAUUAAAAUAAAAAUUAUUAGAUUUA